Molecule: ribosomal RNA, 397 nt
Filed under: uncultured bacterium
Lineage: Bacteria
Description: bacterial SSU rRNA
Rfam family: Bacterial small subunit ribosomal RNA
Source: RNAcentral
CGGCGAACGGGUGAGUAACACGUGGGCAACCUGCCCCUGACUCUGGGAUAAGCCCGGGAAACCGGGUCUAAUACCGGAUACGAACCCUCCAGGCAUCUGGUGGGUUGGAAAGAUUUAUCGGUCAGGGAUGGGCCCGCGGCCUAUCAGCUUGUUGGUGGGGUAAUGGCCCACCAAGGCGACGACGGGUAGCCGGCCUGAGAGGGCGACCGGCCACACUGGGACUGAGACACGGCCCAGACUCCUACGGGAGGCAGCAGUGGGGAAUCUUGCACAAUGGGCGAAAGCCUGAUGCAGCGACGCCGCGUGAGGGAUGACGGCCUUCGGGUUGUAAACCUCUUUCAGCAGGGACGAAGCGAAAGUGACGGUACCUGCAGAAGAAGGACCGGCCAACUACGUG